GGAUUUAACGGACACUGUGGCUGGAAAGAGUCAGAGGAACGGCGAGCUGGGAAACCUGUAUGAUCAGGACUGAAGGAAAACUGUUAUUCUAUGAUGACUGAGGUUGCGAAGGCACAGACAGACUCGGUGGUGUCCAGUGUGGAGUCCAUGCUGGCGGACGCGGCCCGACUGCAGACGCAGUGCCGGGAGCGGAGCGGUGAGCUGGCAGUGGCUGCUGUGGAGCUGCACCAGGAGACCCAGAGCCUACGGGACCAGUGCGAGGCCACACAGCUGGACAUGGCCCGCCUCCGACGGACGCUGGACGACCUGCUGGACACAAAACACGCCUACGAGGCCCGAGAGAGACAGACCAGAAAACUCAGCAAGCAGCUGUAGAGAGAGCAGAGUAACUGAACAGGAGUCUAAAAGCUCAUUCGAAGUUGUUGAUCUCAUUUUCAUGAAAAUAAAUAAAAGUGUGUUAAGAAUAA
Molecule: long non-coding RNA, 467 nt
Organism: Danio rerio (zebrafish)
Lineage: Eukaryota; Metazoa; Chordata; Actinopteri; Cypriniformes; Danionidae
Source: RefSeq, marked validated